GUUGCCCUCAAAGCUUGCAACUUCUUUUCCCACAGCUGCAGCAUUUUCUAUUGAAAGGUAGCCGUAUUGGAGGAAAUCUGAGUCUUCUUCCAAAUUCCAAGGUAGACCUAAUGUGCUCUGCAAGAAGAUUCAUAACCAACUAGUCAUGCGAUGUAAGUUGACAUUUAACCGACUGUGGAAAUUGUUCAUUUUAUUUGUCAACAAUCAAUUAUCAAGAUAUGAACACUCUCUGCUCCUCAUGUUUUUCAUAUACAAAGGGUCACCCUGGAAAUUUAUCAGCAAUGGGUAUCAUUAGUUGCUUCUAACUUCUGGUCCUGCAAGAUCUAUUCCAAAGAGUCAGAUAACAGCGAAGUCUGUAGCCAACAUCAAGCUCAAGUAGUGCAUGAAGAGCCAAUACUUGGGUAUUUCUUUGUUAGAUAUGAAGUACCCCGAGAAAAAAGAAGAACUCACCCAUGAUGCCUGCAAUCAAAGACAUUCCUGAUAUGAAAGCAGCUGCAAAAGAAUUUCCCUUUGAGAGAACCAUCCAAGCCACCAGACAGAAAUAAAGGAAUCCAUCGAUUUUGCGUCUCAGUCCAACUAGCCAGUGAAGUGGAGUAGUAAAGAGGAGAUAGUUGCAAAAGGAAUGCAACAAAAUUAUAAGAGAUCUUUACAAUCCAAUAAUACAAUCCAACUCAGCUCAGUGAAUGUGAUCUUUACACGGAAAACCUUAGUUGAGAGAAAUGUCAUGUACCUAGGGGUAGUCAGCUACAGCCAAUACAGCAACGGGACAACCAAGAAAAAGA
RNAcentral lists this long non-coding RNA (782 nucleotides) under Coffea arabica (coffee). Its description in RNAcentral is "long non-coding RNA (CARA_LNC003842)". Lineage: Eukaryota; Viridiplantae; Streptophyta; Magnoliopsida; Gentianales; Rubiaceae. The record is from RNAcentral.